AUUGAACGCUGGCGGAAUGCUUUACACAUGCAAGUCGAGCGGCAGCGCGGGGCAACCUGGCGGCGAGCGGCGAACGGGUGAGUAAUACAUCGGAACGUACCCAGUUGUGGGGGAUAGCCCGGCGAAAGCCGGAUUAAUACCGCAUACGACCUGAGGGUGAAAGGGGGGGGAUCGCAAGACCUCUCGCAGUUGGAGCGGCCGAUGGCGGAUUAGCUAGUUGGUAGGGUAAAGGCCUACCAAGGCGACGAUCCGUAGCUGGUCUGAGAGGACGACCAGCCACACUGGAACUGAGACACGGUCCAGACUCCUACGGGAGGCAGCAGUGAGGAAUAUUGGUCAAUGGGAGCAAUCCUGAACCAGCAAUGCCGCGUGUGGGAUGACAGGGCUUCGCCUUGUAAACCACUGUCGGACGGGACGAAAGGAGGGCCUCGGGGCCUCUGGGACGGUACCGUCAAAGGAAGGGUCGGCUAACUACGUGCCAGCAGCCGCGGUAAU
RNAcentral lists this ribosomal RNA (495 nucleotides) under uncultured bacterium. Its description in RNAcentral is "bacterial SSU rRNA". It matches the Rfam family "Bacterial small subunit ribosomal RNA", at positions 29 to 524 of the family's 1533-position model. The record is from RNAcentral.